UACGUAGGGCGCAAGCGUUGUCCGGAAUUAUUGGGCGUAAAGAGCUCGUAGGCGGCUUGUCACGUCGAUUGUGAAAGCCCGAGGCUUAACCUCGGGUCUGCAGUCGAUACGGGCUAGCUAGAGUGUGGUAGGGGAGAUCGGAAUUCCUGGUGUAGCGGUGGAAUGCGCAGAUAUCAGGAGGAACACCGAUGGCGAAGGCAGGUCUCUGGGCCACUACUGACGCUGAGACGCGAAAGCGUGGGGAGCAAACAGG
This 253-nucleotide ribosomal RNA is filed under the name uncultured bacterium. RNAcentral describes it as "partial 16S ribosomal RNA". It matches the Rfam family "Bacterial small subunit ribosomal RNA", at positions 524 to 776 of the family's 1533-position model. The record is from RNAcentral.